This 420-nucleotide ribosomal RNA is filed under the name uncultured bacterium. RNAcentral describes it as "bacterial SSU rRNA". It matches the Rfam family "Bacterial small subunit ribosomal RNA", at positions 356 to 773 of the family's 1533-position model. The record is from RNAcentral.
GAGGAAUAUUGGUCAAUGGGCGAGAGCCUGAACCAGCCAAGUCGCGUGAAGGAAGAAGGAUCUAUGGUUCGUAAACUUCUUUUGCAGGGGAAUAAAGUGCAGGACGUGUCCUGUUUUGUAUGUACCUUAUGAAUAAGGAUCGGCUAACUCCGUGCCAGCAGCCGCGGUAAUACGGAGGAUCCAAGCGUUAUCCGGAUUUAUUGGGUUUAAAGGGAGCGUAGGUUGACAUAUAGGUCAGCUGUGAAAGUUUACGGCUCAACCGUGAAAUUGCAGUUGAUACUGUAUGUCUUGAGUGUACAAGAGGUGGGCGGAAUUCGUGGUGUAGCGGUGAAAUGCUUAGAUAUCACGAAGAACUCCAAUUGCGAAGGCAGCUCACUGGGGUACAACUAACACUGAGGCUCGAAAGUGUGGGUAUCAAAC